This 1290-nucleotide ribosomal RNA is filed under the name Arthrobacter sp. RNAcentral describes it as "bacterial SSU rRNA". It matches the Rfam family "Bacterial small subunit ribosomal RNA", at positions 112 to 1412 of the family's 1533-position model. The record is from RNAcentral. Lineage: Bacteria; Bacillati; Actinomycetota; Actinomycetes; Micrococcales; Micrococcaceae.
AACACGUGAGUAACCUGCCCUUGACUCUGGGAUAAGCCUGGGAAACUGGGUCUAAUACCGGAUAUGACUCCUCAUCGCAUGGUGGGGGGUGGAAAGCUUUAUUGUGGUUUUGGAUGGACUCGCGGCCUAUCAGCUUGUUGGUGAGGUAAUGGCUUACCAAGGCGACGACGGGUAGCCGGCCUGAGAGGGUGACCGGCCACACUGGGACUGAGACACGGCCCAGACUCCUACGGGAGGCAGCAGUGGGGAAUAUUGCACAAUGGGCGAAAGCCUGAUGCAGCGACGCCGCGUGAGGGAUGACGGCCUUCGGGUUGUAAACCUCUUUCAGUAGGGAAGAAGCGAAAGUGACGGUACCUGCAGAAGAAGCGCCGGCUAACUACGUGCCAGCAGCCGCGGUAAUACGUAGGGCGCAAGCGUUAUCCGGAAUUAUUGGGCGUAAAGAGCUCGUAGGCGGUUUGUCGCGUCUGCCGUGAAAGUCCGGGGCUCAACUCCGGAUCUGCGGUGGGUACGGGCAGACUAGAGUGAUGUAGGGGAGACUGGAAUUCCUGGUGUAGCGGUGAAAUGCGCAGAUAUCAGGAGGAACACCGAUGGCGAAGGCAGGUCUCUGGGCAUUAACUGACGCUGAGGAGCGAAAGCAUGGGGAGCGAACAGGAUUAGAUACCCUGGUAGUCCAUGCCGUAAACGUUGGGCACUAGGUGUGGGGGACAUUCCACGUUUUCCGCGCCGUAGCUAACGCAUUAAGUGCCCCGCCUGGGGAGUACGGCCGCAAGGCUAAAACUCAAAGGAAUUGACGGGGGCCCGCACAAGCGGCGGAGCAUGCGGAUUAAUUCGAUGCAACGCGAAGAACCUUACCAAGGCUUGACAUGAACCGGUAACGUCUGGAAACAGGCGCCCCACUUGUGGUCGGUUUACAGGUGGUGCAUGGUUGUCGUCAGCUCGUGUCGUGAGAUGUUGGGUUAAGUCCCGCAACGAGCGCAACCCUCGUUCCAUGUUGCCAGCGCGUAAUGGCGGGGACUCAUGGGAGACUGCCGGGGUCAACUCGGAGGAAGGUGGGGACGACGUCAAAUCAUCAUGCCCCUUAUGUCUUGGGCUUCACGCAUGCUACAAUGGCCGGUACAAAGGGUUGCGAUACUGUGAGGUGGAGCUAAUCCCAAAAAGCCGGUCUCAGUUCGGAUUGGGGUCUGCAACUCGACCCCAUGAAGUCGGAGUCGCUAGUAAUCGCAGAUCAGCAACGCUGCGGUGAAUACGUUCCCGGGCCUUGUACACACCGCCCGUCAAGUCACGAAAGUU